This 1312-nucleotide long non-coding RNA is filed under the name Homo sapiens (human). RNAcentral describes it as "HSALNT0124744". The record is from RNAcentral. Lineage: Eukaryota; Metazoa; Chordata; Mammalia; Primates; Hominidae.
GCCAGGUAAGACAAGACAUGUCUGCCUUCCCUUCCACCAUGAUUGGAAGUUUCCUGAGGCCUCCCCAGCCAUGCUAUCUGUAAAGUCGGCAGAAUUGGUUAUUUCAAAGAAGAUAAUACUGCAAAGCGCUUGGAAUAUGCAUAUGUUUACAUGCUUCAAAUGAUGCGGAAUCAGAAAGCAGCGAUUGAAACUUACUAACCCGACCUGCUAGUCUUUGAACUGAAGCUCUUUGCUGCCCUCUGUAGAUACCUAGAGAUGAAAACGGCAAAGUCAACAUUCACUUUCUCAGUUAUGGUAAUUUUGUUCUGUAAUCUUAAUAGAAAAAUAGACUAAACAGAAGGUGUUUCAAUUAAAGGGAAAUUAAGGAUCGUUUUUUCCUAUAAUUUCUUUUGUACUAUAUCGUUGAAUUUCUGUAUUUGCCUUUAAAAAAAUCACUAUUUAAAAUUAAAACUUCGUGUUUAAAAACACUAUGGUAAGACAAAGUGAAAAUACACACAUGAAUGCAUGAAAAAAGAAUUAGUAAUUUUUCAACUUUCUUUUGACUUUUUUAUCAUUUUAUGUAUAUUAUCCACAUUUUAAAAGUCAUAUGAAUUAUGGUAGAUAAUGUCCUCUAAACAUAAGCUACAAGUUCUAUUUUCACAUGAUAGUUUUCCUUGCCUUUGGCAUGAUAAUUAUUGUUGUUUCUAGUUUCUUGGGAGGGGCUAUUCUUUUGCAAGAAAAUAAUCACUAUUUCAAUUGUUGCAAUUCAACUUAAAAUUAUUUUGCUGAGCAUUUUCUAUGCACUCAGCAAAAGUCUACAUGCUGUGUAGGGGAUAUCAAAAUGAUGAUAAUAAUAGCAGCAAACUGCUAAGUGCUUAACCUUGGAAAGAUAUUGUAGCACAUUACUUUACAUAUGCUAACCAUUUAGUCUUCCCAAAUAUUAUAAGGUGUCUGAUUUUGUAGAGCCUACAAUUUUGUUGAAAAUAGUAUUACUCGAUGUUCCAUCAUCAUUUCUCUGUUACCACAAAUUGCUAUCUUAAGGCAUAAGAAAGGUCAGCCACGUUUUGUAAUGCUUGCUAUUUCACAGCGUGUAUGCGGUUUUACUCCUAUUCAGGUUAUCAGUACUUCAAGCUUAUCUAUAGCAUCUUGUCUUUUAAGCACUGUGUUAAGACUACUUCUCAAGAUAUAAUCAACUACUGAAUGUAGUUUCUCUAAAUAUUAGCCAGGCUUCCAUCUAUCAUAUCUUCAAAGUAGUGGUUAUAUCUUUAUGAAAAUAAGAUCCUAAAAGUCCUACACUGUGGUCCUUCAUUAUUUCUACUAAAUAAAUUUCUAC